RNAcentral lists this ribosomal RNA (497 nucleotides) under uncultured bacterium. RNAcentral describes it as "partial 16S ribosomal RNA". It matches the Rfam family "Bacterial small subunit ribosomal RNA", at positions 28 to 507 of the family's 1533-position model. The record is from RNAcentral.
GAUGAACGCUGGCGGCGUGCCUAAUAUAUGCAAGUCGAGCGAACGGACGAGAAGCUUGCUUCUCUGAUGUUAGCGGCGGACGGGUGAGUAACACGUGGAUAACCUACCUAUAAGACUGGGAUAACUUCGGGAAACCGGAGCUAAUACCGGAUAAUAUUUUGAACCGCAUGGUUCAAAAGUGAAAGACGGUCUUGCUGUCACUUAUAGAUGGAUCCGCGCUGCAUUAGCUAGUUGGUACGGUAACGGCUUACCAAGGCAACGAUGCAUAGCCGACCUGAGAGGGUGAUCGGCCACCCUGGAACUGAGCCACGCUCCAGACUCCUACGGGAGGCAGCAGUAGGGAAUCUUCCGCAAUGGGCGAAAGCCUGACGGAGCAACGCCGCGUGAGUGAUGAAGGUCUUCGGAUCGUAAAACUCUGUUAUUAGGGAAGAACAUAUGUGUAAGUAACUGUGCACAUCUUGACGGUACCUAAUCAGAAAGCCACGGCUAACUACGUG